UCUGAUUGCUUCUUUCUUUUUUUUAAAGGUUGAAAAAAAUCUUACUAUUUAUUUUAAAUUUGAGAGCCCCAAAUGAUCUCUUUGGAAUAAAAGGAGCUACCGUGCAUGGGUACUGGGCUGGCAGAGAAACCCGGGAAGUGUGACCUAGAGCCAAAGAAAAAGCUGCACUUUGGGGCAAUUUCAUAGUAGGGUACCUUCCUGACACCGGCACACACUGGAGAGACUUCAUUCGGGAAAGUUUAAUGGUAUGUUGACUGUCUCUACACUGACGCACUGCAAAAAGAAUCUACUGCAGCAAAACAGAGCACGUGGAUAUUACUUUUUAAAGGGCUUGCCCAGGCUAAACUUUCAAGGAAAACAAGCUGAUCAGUUGAGAGAGUGAAGGAUAAAAGCCCAGAAGACGUUGAAUCAGUUAACACGAUGAACUGCCAGUUACAUCCCUGCUUAGUUUCUAAAGGAGCUGCUGCAGGAUCAGGAAGCUCUUUAAAAGCGUUCCCUGAGCCACUCAUAAGAUUUACACCCUGCGUGUGAAGUCUACAGCUUUCUUUUGCAAUCGAAUUUUUCUAAGAAUCUUCCAGAAUAAAUAGCUUUGAAAUUUCAUUGAAUAGGACCUCAUCCAAUUGCAUUCAAAUGUCUAGAGGGUCUCUCACUGACAUAGCAGAAGAGCUCACUGAGGGAGCCAGGUACUUCGAGAGUUGUGACAGGUCUUAAGUGGCACAAAAGCUCUGCUUCUGCAGCCCCAGACACAAAUACAUGGAAUGAAAAGACAGAAGCAGCACCCGCCCCCCGCAAAAAUGUUGGGGGGAUACAAGCUGCAAGAGAAAGUUGAGUUUACCAGAGAAAUUUGUAGUUUUCAAAAGUGAGGACUGGACUUCCCUGAUGGUGCAGUGGUUAAGAAUCCGCCUUCCAAUGCAGGGGACAGGGGUUCGAUACCUGGUCCAGGAAGAUCCCACAUGCCACGGAGCAACUAAGCCCAUGUGCUUAGCCCACAACUACUGAGCCCGCACGCCACAACUACUGAAGCCUGUGCGCCUAGAGCCCAUGCUCCGCAACAAGAGACGCCACCGCAAUGAGAAGGCCACGCAAGGCAAGGAAGAGUAGCCCCCGCUCGCCGCAACUAGAGAAAGCCCGCGCACAGCAACUAAGACCCAACACAGCCAUCCGUAAAUAAAUAACUUUUUUAAAAAGUGAGGAUUAUCCAUACAAUGAAAUAUUGUUCAGCCAUAAAAAGGAAUGAAAUGUCUGUACCUGCUACAAUAUGCACGAACCUUGAGAACAUAAGCUGAGGGAAAGAAGCUGACACAAAAAGCUGCAUAGAGCACAAUUUCACGUCAAUGAAAUCUCUAGAACAGGUACAUGGAUAGAAACAGAAAGGAGAAUGGUGA
Globicephala melas (long-finned pilot whale) is the source of this 1385-nucleotide long non-coding RNA. RefSeq lists it as uncharacterized. The record is from RefSeq and is a predicted model, not a curated record. Lineage: Eukaryota; Metazoa; Chordata; Mammalia; Artiodactyla; Delphinidae.